GAGUUUGAUCAUGGCUCAGGAUGAACGCUAGCGGCAGGCCUAACACAUGCAAGUCGAGGGGUAACAGGGAAAAGCUUGCUUUUCCGCUGACGACCGGCGCACGGGUGCGUAACGCGUAUGCAACCUACCUUUUACAGGAGUAUAGCCCAGAGAAAUUUGGAUUAAUCCUCCAUAAUAUCUUAAUCAUGCAUAUGAUAAAGAUUAAAGCUUCGGUGGUAAAGGAUGGGCAUGCGUUUUAUUAGCUAGUAGGUGAGGUAACGGCUCACCUAGGCCACGAUAAAUAGGGGCCCUGAGAGGGGGAUCCCCCACACUGGUACUGAGACACGGACCAGACUCCUACGGGAGGCAGCAGUGAGGAAUAUUGGACAAUGGACGAAAGUCUGAUCCAGCCAUGCCGCGUGCAGGAUGACGGCCCUAUGGGUUGUAAACUGCUUUUAUACAGGAAGAAACACUCCCACGUGUGGGGGCUUGACGGUACUGUACGAAUAAGGAUCGGCUAACUCCGUGCCAGCAGCCGCGGUAAUACGGAGGAUCCAAGCGUUAUCCGGAAUUAUUGGGUUUAAAGGGUCCGCAGGCGGUCUAUUAAGUCAGAGGUGAAAUCUUGCAGCUCAACUGUAAAAUUGCCUUUGAUACUGGUAGACUUGAGUCAUUGUGAAGUGGUUAGAAUGUGUAGUGUAGCGGUGAAAUGCAUAGAUAUUACACAGAAUACCAAUUGCGAAGGCAGAUCACUAACAAUGUACUGACGCUCAUGGACGAAAGCGUGGGGAGCGAACAGGAUUAGAUACCCUGGUAGUCCACGCCGUAAACGAUGGAUACUAACUGUUCGUCCGCCUCGGCGGAUGAGUGGUUAAGCGAAAGUGAUAA
Molecule: ribosomal RNA, 864 nt
Filed under: uncultured bacterium
Lineage: Bacteria
Description: bacterial SSU rRNA
Rfam family: Bacterial small subunit ribosomal RNA
Source: RNAcentral